UAUCCGAAAGCAACGACAAACCAUUGCUAAUGAAAAACGAUUCGGGGCGAAGUUUGGUUACACAUGUUUUAAAAGGCCGUAUAAUUUGAUAUUUAAAAUUCUAAAUAAAAAAGACGGAUAUACUUCCGAGUGUAGUAGUGUAGUACACCCUUCAUGAGUGGGCCACUGUUGUAGAUGUAAAGUCGAGAAGGUAAGAUAUACAGGAGAAUUUAAUGUAUACCUGUACGCAACGAUUAAUCUUUGCUAAUGAAAAACGAUUCU
Non-coding RNA from Cinara cedri, 261 nucleotides. NCBI's taxonomy places the organism in Eukaryota, Metazoa, Arthropoda, Insecta, Hemiptera, Aphididae. The record is from the annotation of a GenBank genome assembly.